RNAcentral lists this long non-coding RNA (356 nucleotides) under Canis lupus familiaris (dog). RNAcentral's name for it is "lncRNA (ENSCAFG00000054209.1, ENSCAFG00845004206.1)". The record is from RNAcentral. Lineage: Eukaryota; Metazoa; Chordata; Mammalia; Carnivora; Canidae.
CCUCCCAGGAGCCUGACUCAGUGCCUGCGUGGACCUUUCCAGCUGUCCCCAGAACAGCCCUAAGGUGGAGCACAGUGAAAUGGAUGCAGUCUGCCUCUCAGGGAAGUGGCUGGAGCAUAAUGGGGAGGAGAAUUGAAGUUCCUACAAAGGUUUUCUGCCUGACAGUGAACCAGAACACUCGUGGAGCUAGGAUCCCUUCAAGCUCUACAGGUUCAAUGUCCUCACUGGAAUCCUGUGUCCCGAUACCUGGACCCUGUCAGGAGUCUUGUCCAGCUAUCCCGAGGCACAUAGAGGGAACAAUGCUUCUCCUGAUGUACCAUCCUUCAUCUACGGGCCAGUUGGGUCUCCUAAGGUGA